AAAAAAACAAAAUUGUAUAUAAGCAAGCAAAAUAAUUUGUCUGCUCUCUCCGCAUAAUCGGCAUACUCCUACUAUGCAUUUCACUCACAACACAAGUUAGCAAGAGGAGAUUGGAUCAACCAGUAUUAUACUAAUUGAACUAUUCCAAAUCCUCUUUUGGUUUUUCAGAAUCUUCCUUCGGUUUUUUAGAGGCUGGCCCAUCAUCUCUAUUUUUCAUUUUUGCUUCACGACGUUCUCUCUUCACUCCCUUCGAUUUGUUGGGUAUAGCCAUCUCUCCAACCUUUUGAUCAGGAAUAUAUAUCCUUCCGAUCUUGCCCUGAAUAAGAUCCUUGCUAACAUUUUUCUCCUUCUUCUUAGUCUGAUCCUUAGCUGUUUUCAUGGCUUCUUUUCUUAGGCCAUCAGUAGGAAGUCGG
Molecule: unclassified non-coding RNA, 413 nt
Filed under: Hevea brasiliensis (rubber tree)
Lineage: Eukaryota; Viridiplantae; Streptophyta; Magnoliopsida; Malpighiales; Euphorbiaceae
Source: RNAcentral